GAGUUUGAUCCUGGCUCAGAAUGAACGUUGGCGGCGUGGAUUAGGCAUGCAAGUCGAGGGAGAACCCGCAAGGGGGACACCGGCGAACGGGGUAGGAUCACGUAGGUGACGUACCCCCAGGGCGAGGAUAGCCACGGGAAACUGUGGGUAAUACUCGAUAACCUUCCCGAUCAUGAUCGGCUGGGAAGCAAUGGGUGUGAUUCCACCUGGGGAGCGGCUUACGCAGUAUCAGCUAGUUGGUGAGGUAACGGCUCACCAAGGCAUUGACGCUUAGGGGGUGUGAGAGCAUGGCCCCCACCACUGGCACUGAGACACUGGCCAGACACCUACGGGUGGCUGCAGUCGAGAAUCUUCGGCAAUGGACGAAAGUCUGACCGAGCGACGCCGCGUGCGGGAUGAAGGUCUUCGGAUUGUAAACCGCUGUCGGAGGGGAUGAAGUAUACCAGAGCAAUCUCUGGUAUUUGACAGAGCCUCGGAGGAAGCACGGGCUAAGUUCGUGCCAGCAGCCGCGGUAAUACGAACUGUGCGAACGUUAUUCGGAAUCACUGGGCUUAAAGGGUGCGUAGGCGGUCAUCUCAGUCACGUGUGAAAUCUUCUGGCUCAACCAGAAAACUGCGCGUGAAACUAGUUGACUUGAGUGAGGUAGGGGUGUGUGGAACUUCCGGUGGAGCGGUGAAAUGUGUAGAGAUCGGAAGGAACGCCAGCAGCGAAAGCGGCACACUGGGCCUUUUCUGACGCUGAGGCACGAAAGCUAGGGGAGUGAACGGGAUUAGAUACCCCGGUAAUCCUAGCCGUAAACACUGAACACUGGAGGACGGGGGCUUCGGCCUUCGUGCUCGUAGCGAAAGCGUUAAGUGUUCCGCCUGGGGAGUAUGGUCGCAAGGCUGAAACUCAAAGGAAUUGACGGGGGCUCACACAAGCGGUGGAGCAUGUGGCUUAAUUCGAGGCAACGCGAAGAACCUUAUCCUGGGUUUGACAUGCAUGGAUUAACCCGAUGAAAGUCGGGCCACGCUCGCAAGAGUGGACAUGCACACGUGCUACAAUGGC
This 1047-nucleotide ribosomal RNA is filed under the name uncultured bacterium. RNAcentral describes it as "bacterial SSU rRNA". It matches the Rfam family "Bacterial small subunit ribosomal RNA", at positions 9 to 1049 of the family's 1533-position model. The record is from RNAcentral.